This 87-nucleotide transfer RNA is filed under the name Candidatus Amesiibacteriota bacterium. RNAcentral's name for it is "Candidatus Amesbacteria bacterium tRNA-Ser". It matches the Rfam family "tRNA". From Rfam's summary of the family: Transfer RNA (tRNA) molecules are approximately 80 nucleotides in length. The record is from RNAcentral. Lineage: Bacteria; Candidatus Amesiibacteriota.
GGAGAGGUCGCCUAGAGGCCUAUGGCGGAAGUCUUGAAAACUUCUAGGGGCGAAAGCUCCUCGUGAGUUCGAAUCUCACCCUCUCCG